AUGUGCGUGUAUUGAUAUGUGUGUACAUAUGUUAUGCAUGUGAAAUGUAUAACCAGUAUAUGUACGUGUGGAAUUUGAGUAUAUUGCACUUGCUGUGUGAUCUGAUACAGGAUAAUUCAGAAAGUGGUUUGAAAUGUAUGACUCUGAUAUGUGUGAUGAUAUCGCAUAUUAUGUGUGUGUUUCUAUUUAAUUGUGUGUAGAAGUUAGGACCUUAAAUUAAUAUAGAUUUUGAAUUUUUAAAUAAGAAACUGUAUAAGUUGAAUAGAUCUAGAAAACAAACACUAAAGAAAUAGAGAAGUAUAAGUUAGUUAGAGAAAUAGGUUGAAUAAGCCAUAGCAAGGUAAAUAUAUGAAAUAGUUAUAAAAAUAGGGAAAUUAGGUAAAUUUGGAAACAAGGUGUGUAGCAAGUAGAUAAAAGAAUGAGAGAAACUUUUGAUAACAAAAUACAAAAGCUAUGAAGAAUAAAUAAGACACUUAAUUCGUUAGCCAUGAAUCGAGGAUGGGAGGGUGUGUGUGUGGCUGAAGUUCAGUGGGUAUGGUGUACCUGCACAUGGAUAGUUAUUUGAAACCUAGUCCAGACGUGGAUUAGUAUUUAUAAGCGUGUGGAUCACCUAACAAACAUAACUGCUAUGACCAAUGUGAGAUUGUGUGUCCUAUCCAUGCAAUGGAGGGGGAUCCUUUUUGCCUCUCCUCGAUAGCGAUAUAACAGGCAUUGUGCAAUGGUAACCUAAAUAAGCUUUAAAAGAUUAAAUAAUGGAAAUUAUAAAUCCAAGUGGACUGAUGUGUGUGUGAGUGAAUCCAUUUUAGUUUGAGGAAUCUAUGAAUCUAUAAGUGUGAUUUGAAAUGAGAACUAGAAUUAGAUUAGAAGAGUGAGGAUUAGAAAAUGCUUUAUGUGAUGAUUUGUUUGAUAAUUUUUUUUAUUAUAAAUAUUAUUAUAUUUUAUAUAUUACGUGAAUACGUGCAUGUAAGUCUCUGUUAUAGAAUCUUUUUCUUAUUGAACUUGUGAAGCUCACCCCAAUUCACCUACAACCAUGUCAGAGGAGAUGAGAAACAAGUCCAAGAUCAAUAGAAGAUGGUGAAGGAAACUUUACUAGUUUUGAUUUUAAAAUUGUAAAUUAAUUUAGAUGCCUCAAAAUAAUUAUCUUGUCACAAGUGAUGUAUAUUAAAGUAUAGUUCUGUUGCAUAUUUAAUAUUUAUCGGUUCCAUUAAUUAGAAAUAUUGUGUAAAUGUCUAUACCACCGACAUUGGAGUUCGGGCUGUUACAUAUAAUAUAUAAUAUAUAAUUUUAUAUUAUAAUAUUUUAGAUUUAAAUUAAAAUUAUAUGUAUACAUUUUAUAAUUAUUAGCAUUUAAUAUAAUAAUUAAGACAUUUAGUAUGUAUAUAUAUAAUUAGCAUUUCCUAAUAAUUAAG
Molecule: long non-coding RNA, 1409 nt
Filed under: Carica papaya (papaya)
Lineage: Eukaryota; Viridiplantae; Streptophyta; Magnoliopsida; Brassicales; Caricaceae
Description: long non-coding RNA (CPAP_LNC001813)
Source: RNAcentral